Molecule: unclassified non-coding RNA, 218 nt
Filed under: soil metagenome
Description: partial contains 5.8S ribosomal RNA, internal transcribed spacer 2, and large subunit ribosomal RNA
Source: RNAcentral
AACACUGUUAACCUGCGGUACCUGCGGAAGGAUCAUUACAGAGUGUAAAAACUCCCAAAACCCAUGUGAACAUACCUUUUUGUUGCUUCGGCGGGAUCGCCCCGGGCGCCUUGUGUGCCCCGGAGUCAGGCGCCCGCCGGGGGACCCAAACUCUUGUUUUUAACGAGUAUCUUCUGAGUAACGUUUUUAAAUAAAUAAAAACUUUUAACAACGGAUCU